RNAcentral lists this ribosomal RNA (250 nucleotides) under uncultured prokaryote. RNAcentral's name for it is "partial 16S ribosomal RNA". It matches the Rfam family "Bacterial small subunit ribosomal RNA", at positions 524 to 773 of the family's 1533-position model. The record is from RNAcentral.
UACGUAGGGGGCAAGCGUUAUCCGGAUUUACUGGGUGUAAAGGGAGCGCAGGCGGUAGAUCAAGUCUGAUGUGAAAACCCGAGGCUCAACCUCGGGAUUGCAUUGGAAACUGGUUUACUUGAGUGUCGGAGAGGUAAGCGGAAUUCCUAGUGUAGCGGUGAAAUGCGUAGAUAUUAGGAGGAACACCAGUGGCGAAGGCGGCUUACUGGACGAUAACUGACGCUGAGGCUCGAAAGCGUGGGGAGCAAAC